AGCGUUUAUGACCAGACUUGGGCUUGGUUAAUCAUCUGGGGUUCUCCCCAGUGCACUUUUCCAGUCCAGGCCAGCAUCAGUUUUCCCCGGGGGAUAAAGACUUCGGGAAUGUGGCACUCUUCGGGGUGUGUUAUAGCCC
RNAcentral lists this ribosomal RNA (139 nucleotides) under Fusarium fujikuroi. Its description in RNAcentral is "partial large subunit ribosomal RNA". The record is from RNAcentral. Lineage: Eukaryota; Fungi; Ascomycota; Sordariomycetes; Hypocreales; Nectriaceae.